RNAcentral lists this ribosomal RNA (687 nucleotides) under uncultured Staphylococcus sp. Its description in RNAcentral is "bacterial SSU rRNA". It matches the Rfam family "Bacterial small subunit ribosomal RNA", at positions 63 to 736 of the family's 1533-position model. The record is from RNAcentral. Lineage: Bacteria; Bacillati; Bacillota; Bacilli; Caryophanales; Staphylococcaceae.
CGAACGGACGAGAAGCUUGCUUCUCUGAUGUUAGCGGCGGACGGGUGAGUAACACGUGGAUAACCUACCUAUAAGACUGGGAUAACUUCGGGAAACCGGAGCUAAUACCGGAUAAUAUUUUGAACCGCAUGGUUCAAAAGUGAAAGACGGUCUUGCUGUCACUUAUAGAUGGAUCCGCGCUGCAUUAGCUAGUUGGUAAGGUAACGGCUUACCAAGGCAACGAUGCAUAGCCGACCUGAGAGGGUGAUCGGCCACACUGGAACUGAGACACGGUCCAGACUCCUACGGGAGGCAGCAGUAGGGAAUCUUCCGCAAUGGGCGAAAGCCUGACGGAGCAACGCCGCGUGAGUGAUGAAGGUCUUCGGAUCGUAAAACUCUGUUAUUAGGGAAGAACAUAUGUGUAAGUAACUGUGCACAUCUUGACGGUACCUAAUCAGAAAGCCACGGCUAACUACGUGCCAGCAGCCGCGGUAAUACGUAGGUGGCAAGCGUUAUCCGGAAUUAUUGGGCGUAAAGCGCGCGUAGGCGGUUUUUUAAGUCUGAUGUGAAAGCCCACGGCUCAACCGUGGAGGGUCAUUGGAAACUGGAAAACUUGAGUGCAGAAGAGGAAAGUGGAAUUCCAUGUGUAGCGGUGAAAUGCGCAGAGAUAUGGAGGAACACCAGUGGCGAAGGCGACUUUCUGGUCUG